GGACCAAGGAGUCUAGCAUGUGCGCGAGUCAUUGGGACUCUGUUAAAACCUAAAGGCGUAAUGAAAGUAAAUAUUUGACGUGUUCCUUGUGAUCACUGAAAAUUUAAGGGAAGAUGGGUAACGAUAUUUAUGUUACCUCGCAUUCCCGGGGCGUCGCGUACUUAUUGCAAGUUGCGGCGCACCAAGAGCGUACACGCUGGGACCC
Molecule: ribosomal RNA, 205 nt
Filed under: Pterostichus jurinei
Lineage: Eukaryota; Metazoa; Arthropoda; Insecta; Coleoptera; Carabidae
Description: partial 28S ribosomal RNA
Rfam family: Eukaryotic large subunit ribosomal RNA
Source: RNAcentral